GAGCGCCCCGCAAGGGGAGCGGCAGACGGGAGAGUAACACGUGGGAACGUACCCUUCAGUUCGGAACAACCCAGGGAAACUUGGGCUAAUACCGAAUACGUCCGUAAGGAGAAAGAUUUAUCGCUGAAGGAUCGGCCCGCGUCUGAUUAGCUAGUUGGUGAGGUAACGGCUCACCAAGGCUACGAUCAGUAGCUGGUCUGAGAGGAUGAUCAGCCUCACUGGGACUGAGACACGGCCCAGACUCCUACGGGAGGCAGCAGUGGGGAAUAUUGGACAAUGGGCGCAAGCCUGAUCCAGCCAUGCCGCGUGGAUGAUGAAGGCCCUAGGGUUGUAAAGUCCUUUCGGCGGGGAAGAUAAUGACGGUACCCGCAGAAGAAGCCCCGGCUAACUUCGUGCCAGCAGCCGCGGUAAUACGAAGGGGGCUAGCGUUGCUCGGAAUCACUGGGCGUAAAGCGCACGUAGGCGGCUUUUUAAGUCAGGGGUGAAAUCCUGGAGCUCAACUCCAGAACUGCCUUUGAUACUGAGAGGCUUGAGUCCGGGAGAGGUGAGUGGAACUGCGAGUGUAGAGGUGAAAUUCGUAGAUAUUCGCAAGAACACCAGUGGCGAAGGCGGCUCACUGGCCCGGUACUGACGCUGAGGUGCGAAAGCGUGGGGA
Molecule: ribosomal RNA, 655 nt
Filed under: uncultured bacterium
Lineage: Bacteria
Description: bacterial SSU rRNA
Rfam family: Bacterial small subunit ribosomal RNA
Source: RNAcentral